This 621-nucleotide ribosomal RNA is filed under the name uncultured bacterium. RNAcentral describes it as "bacterial SSU rRNA". The stretch from base 1 to 523 matches the Rfam family "Bacterial small subunit ribosomal RNA", at positions 338 to 873 of the family's 1533-position model. The record is from RNAcentral.
CCUACGGGAGGCAGCAGUGGGGGAAUCUUGCGCAAUGGGCGAAAGCCUGACGCAGCCAUGCCGCGUGAAUGAUGAAGGUCUUAGGAUUGUAAAAUUCUUUUCACCGGGGACGAUAAUGACGGUACCCGGAGAAGAAGCCCCGGCUAACUUCGUGCCAGCAGCCGCGGUAAUACGAAGGGGGGCUAGCGUUGCUCGGGAAUUACUGGGCGUAAAGGGAGCGUAGGCGGAUAGUUUAGUCAGAGGUGAAAGCCCAGGGCUCAACCUUGGAAUUGCCUUUGAUACUGGCUAUCUUGAGUAUGGGAGAGGUUAGCGGAACUCCGAGUGUAGAGGUGAAAUUCGUAGAUAUUCGGAAGAACACCAGUGGCGAAGGCGGCUAACUGGCCCAUUACUGACGCUGAGGCUCGAAAGCGUGGGGAGCAAACAGGAUUAGAUACCCUGGUAGUCCACGCCGUAAACGAUGAGUGCUAGUUGUCGGCAUGCAUGCAUGUCGGUGACGCAGACGUACGACAUAAGACACUCCGUCGUGGGAGGUACGGUCGGCGAAGAACGUUAAACUAACAAACUAGAAGUUAGUACGGACGUGAGACGUACGACCGACGGACGACGACGAGGGAGGUUAGG